AUACGGAGGGUGCGAGCGUUAAUCGGAAUUACUGGGCGUAAAGCGUGCGUAGGCGGUUUGCUAAGUCAGAUGUGAAAGCCCCGGGCUUAACCUGGGAACUGCAUUUGAUACUGGCAGACUAGAGUAUGAUAGAGGGGGGUAGAAUUCCUGGUGUAGCGGUGAAGUGCGUAGAUAUCAGGAGGAAUACCAGUGGCGAAGGCGGCCCCCUGGAUCAAUACUGACGCUGAGGUACGAAAGCGUGGGGAGCGAACAGGAUUAGAAACCCUAGUAGUCC
This 274-nucleotide ribosomal RNA is filed under the name uncultured bacterium. RNAcentral describes it as "partial 16S ribosomal RNA". It matches the Rfam family "Bacterial small subunit ribosomal RNA", at positions 523 to 796 of the family's 1533-position model. The record is from RNAcentral.